GCCGAGCUUGGUAAAUGGUAACGCUAGCUUGUAACUCGAGUGAGGGUAUUAAGGUGGCUUAGGGGUGAAUACAAUUGAGAUAGAGAUGCCUGGCUCGCUCAUCAGCCUGGACUGGUUCCUUUAAGAUUACCUUU
This 134-nucleotide non-coding RNA is filed under the name Corchorus capsularis. Lineage: Eukaryota; Viridiplantae; Streptophyta; Magnoliopsida; Malvales; Malvaceae. The record is from RNAcentral.